GCCGGGGUUCCCUAGCCAGGUAAGGGGUCGGCCUCGAGAUCAAUAAUAUGAUAUAAGCUGGCUAGUCGAUGACCAUAAAGGUCUCGUGGGUUCAAAUCCCAUUCCCGGCG
RNAcentral lists this transfer RNA (110 nucleotides) under uncultured marine thaumarchaeote AD1000_24_H07. Its description in RNAcentral is "tRNA-Ser". It matches the Rfam family "tRNA". Rfam says of the family: Transfer RNA (tRNA) molecules are approximately 80 nucleotides in length. Their secondary structure includes four short double-helical elements and three loops (D, anti-codon, and T loops). Further hydrogen bonds mediate the characteristic L-shaped molecular structure. tRNAs have two regions of fundamental functional importance: the anti-codon, which is responsible for specific mRNA codon recognition, and the 3' end, to which the tRNAs corresponding amino acid is attached (by aminoacyl-tRNA synthetases). tRNAs cope with the degeneracy of the genetic code in two manners: having more than one tRNA (with a specific anti-codon) for a particular amino acid; and 'wobble' base-pairing, i.e. permitting non-standard base-pairing at the 3rd anti-codon position. Lineage: Archaea; Thermoproteati; Nitrososphaerota. The record is from RNAcentral.